This 320-nucleotide long non-coding RNA is filed under the name Salvia miltiorrhiza (redroot sage). Its description in RNAcentral is "long non-coding RNA (SMIL_LNC004271)". Lineage: Eukaryota; Viridiplantae; Streptophyta; Magnoliopsida; Lamiales; Lamiaceae. The record is from RNAcentral.
ACUAUUUCAAGUCGUAUUUACAAUUAGGAAGAUUAAAUAGAAUUAUUAUUCAUAUUACACAGAAAAAAUAAUAAAUUUCUAGACACUCUAAAUACGAUUUUGAUCUUACAUCACUCUUCCAAUUAUUUUAAACAUAAACGCAAACAACCAACCUAAUUAACUAAGAUGAAGAACCCAAAUAGGUCUACCAAUCUAAACUAAUCAACAUUCUAAUAAAUUUCUCUCGCAAAAAAAAAAGAAAAAAAAAAAGAACAAACAUAAUUCUGGAAUGACAAGCUUUUUUCUUCCACAUUUUGAAUACAUACAUUCUCUUAGUCCUA